This 1022-nucleotide ribosomal RNA is filed under the name uncultured bacterium. RNAcentral describes it as "bacterial SSU rRNA". It matches the Rfam family "Bacterial small subunit ribosomal RNA", at positions 471 to 1504 of the family's 1533-position model. The record is from RNAcentral.
GACAGUACACCCGGAAUAAGGUACGGCUAACUACGUGCCAGCAGCCGCGGUAAAACGUAGGUACCGAGCGUUAUCCGGAUUUACUGGGCGUAAAGCGCGUUCAGGCGGUUUGGCAAGUCGGGCAUGAAAUCUCUCGGCUCAACCGGGAGAGGUUGUCCGAUACUGCUGGACUUGAGGGCAGUAGAGGGUGGUGGAAUUCCGGGUGUAGUGGUGAAAUGCGUAGAUAUCCGGAGGAACACCAGUGGCGAAAGCGGCCACCUGGACUGUACCUGACGCUGACACGCGAAAGCUAGGGGAGCGAGCGGGAUUAGAAACCCCGGUAGUCCUAGCUAUAAACGAUGUUGACUAGGUGUCGACGGUCUAAACCCCGCCGGUGCCGGAGCCAGCGCAUUAAGUCAACCGCCUGGGGACUACGGCCGCAAGGUUAAAACUCAAAGGAAUUGACGGGGACCCGCACAAGCAGCGGAGCGUGUGGUUUAACUCGAGGCUACGCGAAGAACCUUACCAGGGAUUGACAUGACGGUAGUAGUGAAGCGAAAGCGGAACGACCCUUCGGGGAGCCGUCACAGGUGAUGCAUGGCUGUCGUCAGCUCGUGCCGUGAGGUGUUUGGUUAAGUCCACUAACGAGCGCAACCCUUAGCCCCAGUUAUACGUGUCUGGUGCGACUGCCGGUAUUAAGCCGGAGGAAGGUGGGGAUGACGUCAAGUCAGCAUGUCCUUUAUACCCUGGGCGACACACACGCUACAAUGGCCAGUACAGUGGGUUGCCAAGCCGCGAGGCGGAGCCAAUCCUAAAAAGCUGGUCUCAGUUCGGAUUGCAGGCUGCAACCCGCCUGCAUGAAGUCGGAGUUGCUAGUAACCGCAGGACAGCUAUACUGCGGUGAAUACGUUCCCGGGUCUUGUACACACCGCCCGUCACGUCAUGGGAGCUGGCAACACCUGAAGCCGGUGAGCCAACCGCAAGGACGCAGCCGUCGAAGGUGGGGUCGGUGACUGGGACGAAGUCGUAACAAGGUAGCCGUA